Long non-coding RNA from Mirounga angustirostris (Northern elephant seal), 3188 nucleotides. RefSeq lists it as uncharacterized. The transcript has 3 exons. The record is from RefSeq and is a predicted model, not a curated record. Lineage: Eukaryota; Metazoa; Chordata; Mammalia; Carnivora; Phocidae.
UAGGAAUCACUGGGGAUCCUCCUAAAACAAGAUCUGAUUCAGCAGGUCCGGGGUGGGGCUUGGUACUCUGCCUUUCUUGCUUGUGUAAUUUUUUAUUGUCUUCAUUUUACUGACAUAUAAUUGACAUUAACACUGUGUAAGUGUUAUAUAUGUAUUUACAUAUUGCAAUGUGAUUAGCUAACACCUCUUUCAGGUCACAUGAUUAUAAUUUCUUUUUUGUGUUUGGCUAGGACAAUUAAGACGUAGUCUCUUAGCAACUCUGAAGUUUAUAACAGUUUUGUGGGCUAUAAUCACUAUGUGGCACUCUGCAUUUCUAACAGCUCCCCUAGGUGAUGCGCACGCCGCUGGUCUGCGGACCGCACUCUAGGCAGUGGGGACAGGACGGUCCACACCUGGGACACCUCUUCGAAGCCUCUGAGACUCUGAUCCAGGCUCUUCCCUCCAUCAUUUUUGCUGUGGUUAGCCCUGUAACUGGCAAAAGUUGUGUCUUUCUCAGGGUUUUUGAGUGACCUUGGGGCCUGCAGGGCAGUCCGUGGAGGAGCUGCUCCAUCUGGUGGACCCAAGAUGGUCCCGAUUUUGGACAUUCUGUCCCUUUAUCAGACCAUGAAGCUGACGAUGUUUCCAGAUGUUUGGCUCACCUGGGAGGGAACCCGAUUCUAAGCUCUGGCAGGGCCCAGGGGGCAUGUCUGUGAAGCACGCUUUGUGAGAAACACCACGCAACUUGGCAGGGGCUGGGGGCUGCAGUGGCCUCAGAACCACGGCUGUGAGCCCAGGACGGCAGAGCCCCAGAGACUCGGGGUGCCCUGGUGGUGACUGCCAGAGGGCGAGGGACACCACCUGGCUCCCAUCCUUUGUGUACAGAGCUGAUAUAAACCGUGACUACCAUCUGGUUUGGGUUCUGUCUGCUGGGGACAAAGCCGGGGACAAGGCCAGGGACAGGGCUGCAGGUGGCAGAGGAGCUCCGUUCCCCGACCCUGAAUCAUGGGAUCGGGCACGCCCUGCCUCAUCCAUGGUCAUCACCCUCCGAAAGCAGCAAUUAGAGGUUUGGGGGCACUGCGGCUUGCCACCAAAGGGUCACAUGUACCUCUGCUCGGCCAGAAAACUUGGCCAGAGGUGGCAGAGGGGGUCAGGCUAAGUUCACCCUUAGUGGAUCCAUUUUACAGAUUCCUGCCAAUGUCCACACAGUGGUUUAAAACACGGCCCUGGCGUGGGCGAGCGAGUCCUGAGCCUGAGGCCUGGCCCUGGCGCUCACAGGGCUGUGCCCUCAAGAAGCAUGAACUCGGGUCAAAGACCGGCCACCUCGUAGGGCAUGAGAAGCAAGGGGCCGUCCACAGUCCCUGGCCAUGCGCAGCCCACACUUGACCUCCCAGGCUUUGCUUUACCUGCGGCUUUCAGGGCGCUCCGCAGCUCGUAGGAAGACAUGGUGCCCGACUUGUCAGUGUCGAACUGAAGGAAAAGGUUCUGUGGGGAGGACAGAGGCAUUGAGAACCAGAGGGAGGGUACCCGAAGGCACCACCUUUGACAGUAACUGCAUACAGCCUGGACAGGAAGAGAGGCUCCUCCACCUUUUGCUUUCCUUUCCCUUCCGGGGGCAAGCUCUGGGGUACUUCUAUAAGCAGGAGAAGGGAACUGGGGAAUUGCAUCACAAUUCCUUCCCUUCAGCCCUUUCCCUUGGCCGCUGAAGACCCCCUCCUGCUCCAGGCUGGCGCAAUCCCCAGAGGCCCUGCCCGGCGGGAUCACGUACUGUCCACUUCUUCAGCUUGUCCCAGAACACUGUGAACUCCCCGAACUCUAGCUUCCCGUUGCCACUGGUCUGUGCCGAGCACGUUAAGGAAGGAAGGAAGGAAGAUGAGCAGGGUCUCAACCCAAGGUGCCUCGCGGGACUUUAGGGAUGGAGGGGCAACCGGCUGGCCUGGGGGACAGGUGGCAGAGUCAGGGCUCCUAGGGAGGUGGCUUAACUAUCAAACCACGCAUCUCUGAAGAGGGGAAAUGGCAGAGGUAAGAUGGGGAUGGCACCAGCAAGUUCGAGAAAGUACAAUAAAAACAUUCCCUUAUUAUUCCCUUAGCUGGGACCCCAAAGUGGCAACAAGACCCCCCAAGUGGCACCCCAAGUCCCUCCAAAAGCAUCCCCCCCUCCACUGGACAGUCUGUGCCUCUUGAUUCUGUUCCAGUUCUAGGGGCUGCCUGGUCUUUGGAUGUUCCCCGAGAAGAAGACUAUCCUACCGGUUAAAGGUGCCACAUUCUAAGAGGGUCUGCACGACAGGAAAACACAGCCCUUUCUGCCCACAGAUUGGAAGGAUACAUCCAUUAGAGAAAUGAUGUUUUUACAGGAAGUCAGGCUUAGUUUCUUGAAUUGGAGGUCCUUUUCUGAAAUCACACAUGAAAGCAGAAUUCAUUGGACAUGGGAUAAGAUAAGCCUAUUGCCGGCUGCUGGAAGUCCAAGAGCGUGGUCAGAUCCCGGGGUUGGUGAGGGGGAGACGUGCUCACUCUCAGGCUGCUGGUGAGAGCAGAAACUGACAUGGCCUUUGGGAAGGCAACACUGCACAAUAUAAAAAACGGGAAGAUCUUUCCAUUCACUUAUCCUAGUUUUAAGAAUCCCAAGCCAAGAAUUACAAUUUAACAUCUUUAUCAUCUGGUUAUGUAUAAUGGCAAAAAUUUAGAGAUGACAUAGAUGACCAAUGGAAGGGUAGGAGCAGAAAAGGUUAUGUGCGAAGGAUGGAUUGUUACACGGUCCUUAAGAACCAUGUUUCUGAAGCACAUUUAAUGAUCUGCGGAAAUGCUCAUAAAAAGUCAGUUUAAAAGGCAGGAUUUGCAAUUAUUGAAGAACCUUGAACACUCGUACACCGCUCGUAAAAGAGUCACUUUGGAAAACAGUCGGAUGGUUCCUUAAAACAGGAAGUACAGAGUUACCGUGUAAGGCAGCAAUUGUCCGAGGUAUAUACCCAAGAGAAAUGUCCACACAGGUGACUCGUUCAUGAAUGGUCACAGCAGCAUUAUUCAUAACGGCCAGAGAGUGGCAACAACCCUCAUGGCCAUCCGCGAGGAAUGGAGAAACAAAACCUGGUAUACUCCUACAAUGAAAUAUUACCCAGCCAUAAAAAGGAUUGAAGAGUCCUGGCAAACACUCCAACGUGGAUAAAUCUUGAAGACGUUAUGCUAAGUGAAAGAAGUCACUUAGGAUCACCUAU